CCGUCCACCGAAAAUGCUGGGGAACCACAACAGCAAAAGACUAGCUUUCCAAGGCUGGCACUGGCCGCCUCUGCCGGCAACGGGGGCGGGGGGGGGGGCGGUUCUGCGUGGGGGUGCGCAGCGUCCAGUUACAUUCCUGACCCACUUUCGCAUUCCCUCCCUCCCCCUCCUCCUCCCCCUCUUUCUCCUCCUCCUGCCGGGCGGGCCGAGAGGGCACCCGCGCUCCGCAGAGACACCCGCGAGCCCUCCCUAAGCCGCCGCGGGCGGGGUGCACCAGGCGUCGGGCUCUGCGGGGGACCCGGAGGGAGGGAGGGAGCCCGCCCCCACCCCCGGCUUCCCCUGCGUGGCCCCUCCCUGGUCACAUGGGCUCGCGAGCACCUGUUGGCGACUUCGGCUCCUAGCGGAACCCCUCCCGCCGCCCAGACGAAGCCCCCUGCGGGAGAAGAUGGGAACGCUUCCCCGUGCACGUUCCGCAAACCCCGCGGGGGUGGGCGAGGGCGCCGGGGCCGGUGGGCGACGCCUGCCCGGUUGCUCAGCUUUGCAAAGUGCAAGAAGCACCACGGCAGCGCGGCGACUGGGUGGAGGGGAGCCUACCCCUCCCCCCCUCCUCCCAACCCCCGCCGAGCGGGGAGGUGGGGUGCGUCCGUCCCCAGCCCGACUCUGCUGGAAACCUGGGCUCCUCGCGGGCGCCGGGAGGGGAUGCUGAAGAGUCCGGGCCGGGGCCGCCGGGGCGAGGGCAGGGGCUCGGGGGGCAAUGAAGAUUGUAAAUGAAAUAAGAUGCGGGACACCAAAACCAGGAAGUAGAAAACGCUUUCAGGAUGUGUCGAGCAUUCCUUCCUGCCGUCACAUCAUGUUUGUGCUUUAAGUCAGUGGCUCCCAGCUGGUGGCUGAAUACACCCUCAGGACACCAGGUAAGUGGUCAGAGACGCUUUAUGUGCAUCACUCUGUAGACUGAAUAAUAAAAUGACUGGCCUAGAAAUGUACUUGGCCCAAAUGUACGUGUUUGUCGUUAACGAAUAAACUACAGAUGCAUUGGAAAGCUGUUCUGAAUUUAUACUCUCACUCUCUUCUAUGUAUCUCUUAAAUUGAUGAGUACAAAAAAUAUAGGUACCAUCUUACCCACGGAGGGAGCCAAAAACAAAAGAGAACCAGGUCUGUAGGGGACAUGAGAAGCUCUUCUUCAUACGUUUGGUAAAGCAAAUUCUCUCUCUCUCUUUAUUCUAGGAGACACAUAAUAAUUUCUUUGUUUCACUAUAUAUUAUAUGAUGCCCAAGAUGAAAUGGUGCCAGGGAUAAUUGGAUGCCUUCAUGGAUUUGUUUUAUCAUUUGGCUCUUGGAACCAGAAGUUCUAGGCAUACCUUCUCUGCCACUUUUUUAUACUUAAGGUAUUCACUUCUAUGCUCCAAGCCAAGAAGAGUUUUUCCAAUCCAUGCACACUGUGAGACCUGAGAUACCCAGGAUUGAGAUCUCUGCGGGAACUUCUAACAGUAAUGGACACUUACUAGUGGGUGCAUCUUGUCAGAAAUGCAAAUGUUGUGCACAAUGCCUCCAAAGGCUCUUCAGACAGAAUAAAUUUUCAUUCCCUAUGUUGCUCUACUUGCUUUCUAUACGCUGUCUUCUGCGGGGUAUUUUUUUAAGGGCCUUUAGUCUUGAAUUAUUACAGCGAGCAAGCUAGCAGAUG
RNAcentral lists this long non-coding RNA (1680 nucleotides) under Suricata suricatta (meerkat). RNAcentral describes it as "lncRNA (ENSSSUG00005015537.1)". The record is from RNAcentral. Lineage: Eukaryota; Metazoa; Chordata; Mammalia; Carnivora; Herpestidae.